CUCGCAGCAAGCUGCUCGCGUGUCUUGUUUUCCCGCCAUUUUUUUACCGCGAUAGAAUUUGACCAAGACUUGAAUAAGUCUCGUGAAAUCAAAAAAGUUCUAGGUGCUAUAGUUUUGCCAGGCCGUAGGGUGACCCCUGAUGCGGAGCAGUUUUCCAAGAUGACGUUCCGAUCACACCCCAAUACAUCAUUUUUACCUCGUGAGACAUUUUCUGGAAAAACCAAAAUUUGUAUGGCGGCCAUCUUGUUUUUCGGCCAUUUUGUUUUUUUUUCACUGGCGAUAAAAUUUGACCAAGACUUUAAUAGGCUUCGUGAAAACAAAAAAGUUCCAGGUGCGAUAGUUUCGCCAGGCUGUAGGGUGUCUCCCUGAUGCGGAGCAGCUUAUGAAGAUCGAAAAGUAUUUCCAUACUCAACAUGAUGUUUCGAUCACAUUCCUCAUACAUCAUUUUUACCCCCGAGGCAUUUUCGGGAAAAACGAAAAUUUUGUAUGGCGGCCAUCUUGUUUUACCGCCAUUUUAGUUUUCUUUCACCGGAGAUUGAAUUUGACCAAGAUUUAAAUAGAUUUCGUGAAAACAAAAAAGUUCCAGGUGCGAUAGUUUUGCCAGGCCGUAGGGUGUCUCCCUGAUGCGGAGCAGAUUUCAAAGAUCGAGUAGUACUUCCAUACUCAACAUGACAUUCCGAUUACACCCCCAUACAUUGUUUUUACCUCUAAGACAUUUUUCUGUAAAAACAAAAUUUUGUAUGGCGGCCAUCUUGUUUUUCCGCCAUUUUGGUUUUUUUUCACCGGCGAUUGGAUUUGACUAAGAUUUAAAUACGUUGUGCGAAAAAAUUAUUGUUCCAGGUGCGAUAGUUUUCCCAGGCCGUAGGGUGCCGCCCUGAUGAGGAGCAGUUUUUGAAGGUCGGGAAGUAUUUCCAUACUCAAUAUGACAUUUUGAUCUCAUCCCUCUUAAAUUUUCGAGAAAAACGAAAAUUUUGUAUGGCGGCCAUCUUGUUUUUCCGCCAUUUUGAUUUUUUUUCACCCACAAUAGAAUUUGACCAAGAUUUAAAUAGGUUUCGUGAAAAAAUUAUUGUUCUAGGUGCGAUAGUUUUGCCAGGCCUUAGGGUGUCUCCCUGAUGCGGAGCAGUUUUCGAAAACCUGGAAGUAAACCCGUACUCUACAUGACGUUCCGAUCAAAACCCUCAUAAUAUUUUUUAUCCCAGAGGCAUUUUAAGGAAAAACUAAAAAUUUGUAUGGCGGCCAUCUUGUUUUUCCGCCAUUUUGAUUUUUUUUCAACGGUGAUUGAAUUUGACCAAGAUUUAAAUAGAUUUCGUGAAAGAAAAUUUGCUCCAGGUUUUAUAGUUUUGCCAGGCCGUAGGGUGUCUCCCUAAUGCGGAGCAGUUUUUGAAGAUCGAGAAGUAUUUCCAUACUCAACAAGACGUUCCGAUCACACCCCCAUACAUAAUUUUUAGCCCCGAGACAUUUUCUGUAAAAACAAAAUUUUGUAUGGCGGCCAUCUUGUUUUUCCGCCAUUUUGAUUUUUUUUUACUCACGAUAGAAUUUGACCAAGAUUUAAAUAGGUUUUGCGGAAAAAAAAUUUAUCCAGGUAUAAUAGUUGCGCCAGACCGUAGGGUGUCUCCCUGAUGCGGAGCAGUUUUCCAUGAUCUGGAAGUUUUCCCAUACUCACCGAGAGAUCUAGAUCACACCCCCCAUACAUCAUUUUUACCCCCCGACGCUCCUUCUGGGAGAACAACCCUGUCAGUGAGUCAGUGAG
Molecule: long non-coding RNA, 1750 nt
Filed under: Pectinophora gossypiella (pink bollworm)
Lineage: Eukaryota; Metazoa; Arthropoda; Insecta; Lepidoptera; Gelechiidae
Description: uncharacterized LOC126371566
Source: RNAcentral